This 195-nucleotide non-coding RNA is filed under the name Gynuella sunshinyii. The record is from RNAcentral. RNAcentral also lists the same sequence under 1 other name. Lineage: Bacteria; Pseudomonadati; Pseudomonadota; Gammaproteobacteria; Oceanospirillales; Saccharospirillaceae.
AUUGCCGGCAACGAAGCAGGUGCCCUUGCUAAGGGUUAAACGGGAAGUAUGGUGGACUAUUGCCGUCAUCCAUCGCUGCCCCCGCAUCGGUAAAAAAGAGUAGUCUGCAUAUGCCACUGGAUGAUUCCGGGAAGGCGCAGGCGAUGGCCACAACCCUCUUUAAGCCCGAAUACCGGCCUGUUUUUUAACCAACAU